CUGCUUCCUGCCAUACUCUACAUUUCCCACCGCAUCGUGCGGCGUACUCUGGCCAAGAAGAAGCCGAGCAGCCAUGGCCUCACUAGCCACCCGCUGCUCGGCCACCUCUAUGCGUUCCUCAAGAACCGCCACCGCUUCCUCGACUGGUCGACCGACCUCAUCAUCGGCAGCCCGGAGCGGAGGAUGGGCUUCUGGAUUCCCGGGAUGAUCACCUGCAUCAUCACGGGCAACCCGGCCGACGUCGAGCACGUCCUGCGCACCAAUUUCGCCAACUACCCCAAAGGCGACAGCACCAUCCCCGUCAUGGGCGACUUCCUCGGCCACGGCAUCUUCAACUCCGACGGGGAGCAGUGGCUCUGGCAGCGGAAGAGCGCCAGCCGUGAGUUCACCACGCACUCGCUCCGCGGUUUCGUCAUCGAUUCCGUGCAGUCCGAGGUCAGAAACAGGCUGCUGCCGUUGCUGCGACGCGCGGGGGCCAGCGGCGGCCACAGGGUUCUCGACAUGCAGGACGUGCUCGAGCGAUUCGCGUUCGAUACCGUCUGCAUGAUCUCCUUCGGCCACGACCCGUGCUCCCUCGCCGACGACGGUGUCUUGACAGACGGCAAGUCAGACUUCAUGCGUGCCUUCAUCGAGGCGCAAGAACUCACCGUUAAGCGGUGGCUGGAGGUCACCUGGAAGAUCAAGAGGUGGCUCGAUGUCGGCAAAGAGCGCCGCCUGAGGAAGGCCAUCGCCAACGUACAUGGGUUCGCCAUGGACAUCGUCCGCGCCCGCCGUCAAAGCUCGUCUGGGAAUAACAACAGAGGCGACCUUCUGUCAAGGCUCGUGGCGAGCGGCGAUCACGGCGACGAGGCGCUCCGGGACAUCGUCCUCAGUUUCCUGCUCGCCGGCCGCGAGACGACAUCCUCGGCGCUGACGUGGUUCUUCUGGCUCGUGUCGUCCCGACCGAACGUUGUCGCACGCAUCGCCGACGAGGUCCGCUCGGUUCGGUUCACAACGGGCACCCACCCUGGCGAUCCAUUCACGUUCGAUGAUCUCCGGAGCAUGCAGUACCUGCACGCCGCGCUCACCGAGUCGAUGAGGCUCUACCCACCGGUGGCGAUUGACUCCUCCGAGACAUGUGCGGCAGAUGACACGCUCCCUGAUGGCACGCACGUCGGUGCCGGCUGGUCCAUCACAUACAAUGCGUACGCCAUGGGGCGGCUCGCCACGAUAUGGGGCACAGACUGCGCCGAGUUCAAGCCCGAGCGGUGGCUCGACGACGAUGGGGCUUUCCGGCCGGUGAGCCCGUUCCUGUACACGGUGUUCCACGCCGGACCGAGGACGUGCCUUGGGAAGGAGAUGGCAUACGUGCAGAUGAAGUCCAUUGUCGCCAGUGUUCUCGAAGAAUUCGUGGUCGACGUCAUGGCAGAUAAGGCCGGCAGCGGCGUGCCAGAGCACGCGCUUUCGAUAACCCUGAGGAUGAAGGGUGGCUUGCCUGUCCAAAUAAGGAGAAGGCUGGAAGCCUAG
Molecule: ribosomal RNA, 1506 nt
Filed under: Triticum aestivum (bread wheat)
Lineage: Eukaryota; Viridiplantae; Streptophyta; Magnoliopsida; Poales; Poaceae
Description: partial small subunit ribosomal RNA
Source: RNAcentral